UCCCGUCGAGUAACAAAAAUAUAACUUGUUUGUUGCAUGCUAGAAACUUAUCGGUAUAGCGUGGAAAAGACUAGCGUGCAAACUUUGGUUGGUUCUUUCUCCGGAGUCGUAUAGAUUUGCUAACUAACUCUUUCCUUGUACAUUAUGCCUUGCAGGGAAGAAGACCACAUUUGGUGACGAUUAGGAACUGUUUUGAGCCACAAAAUGGUCUGAUGCAACUGCCGCGUGUCUAGACGACUGUAUCCCCGUGUUUCCCAUUGUCCUAGUGGACCUAGUAUCAUUUGUCUGUAGUAUUUUCUUGCCGCUAUAUGUUGUAAUGCCAGAAUUCUACUAUAUAUGUUACACCUAGUGUUUUUUUGCUACUUCCUCUAUCCAAGUAUUCAAGACUAGAAGUGGUCAUGCAUCUCCUAUAAAAUAGCCAAUCAUUAGUACCAAACAAACCAGUGUCCCUUGAUUCUGAUGAUUAAUGCAGUCGAAAUUGAAAUUUCAUGCAAUUGGUGGCUCAUGCAUGGUGCAAGCUUCAUCUUUAAUUAGAGGGAGAGAUUAACUGAGGCUCUUCUCUUA
Molecule: long non-coding RNA, 564 nt
Filed under: Triticum aestivum (bread wheat)
Lineage: Eukaryota; Viridiplantae; Streptophyta; Magnoliopsida; Poales; Poaceae
Description: long non-coding RNA (TAES_LNC016147)
Source: RNAcentral